Molecule: ribosomal RNA, 315 nt
Filed under: uncultured eukaryote
Lineage: Eukaryota
Description: partial 18S ribosomal RNA
Rfam family: Eukaryotic small subunit ribosomal RNA
Source: RNAcentral
CCCUUAGAUGUUCUGGGCCGCACGCGCGCUACACUGACUGGUGCAACAAGUGUCGCUCCUUGGCCGAUAGGCCUGGGCAAUCUUUGAACGCCAGUCGUGAUGGGGAUAGAUUCUUGCAAUUUUUGAUCUUCAACGAGGAAUUCCUAGUAAACGCGAGUCAUCAACUCGCAUUGAUUACGUCCCUGCCCUUUGUACACACCGCCCGUCGCACCUACCGAUUGAAUGGUCCGGUGAAGCCUCCGGAUUGGCGCGCACCUCGGUGCCGCCGAGAAGUUGGCUAAACCUUACCAUUUAGAGGAAGGUGAANUCGUAACA